GAUGAACGCUGGCGGCGUGCCUAACACAUGCAAGUCGAACGAUGAAGCCGGAGCUUGCUCCGGUGGAUUAGUGGCGAACGGGUGAGUAACACGUGAGCAAUCUGCCCUUGACUCUGGGAUAACUGCGGGAAACUGUAGCUAAUACCGGAUACGACACCUUGGGGCAUCCCAGGGUGUGGAAAGAAUUUCGGUCAAGGAUGAGCUCGCGGCCUAUCAGCUAGUUGGUGAGGUAAUGGCUCACCAAGGCGACGACGGGUAGCCGGCCUGAGAGGGUGACCGGCCACACUGGAACUGAGACACGGUCCAGACUCCUACGGGAGGCAGCAGUGGGGAAUAUUGCACAAUGGGCGAAAGCCAGAUGCAGCAACGCCGCGUGAGGGAUGAAGGCCUUCGGGUUGUAAACCUCUUUUAGCAGGGAAGAAGCGAAAGUGACGGUACCUGCAGAAAAAGCACCGGCUAACUACGUGCCAGCCGCCGCAGUAA
Molecule: ribosomal RNA, 483 nt
Filed under: uncultured bacterium
Lineage: Bacteria
Description: partial 16S ribosomal RNA
Rfam family: Bacterial small subunit ribosomal RNA
Source: RNAcentral